CUAGUAAUAAUAAGGAUAAUAAUAGUAAUAAAAAUAAAAAGGUCAAUUUAGAAAUAAAAUGGAAUUUAGGGCAAAACACAAAUAAAUAGAUAAAUACAAUAAAAAGGAAAAAGGAAAAAAUAAAAUAAAAAGAAUGCAAAAAUAUUUAAAGAAAAUGACAUAAGGACUAAAAUGAAAUUAAAAUAAAACUCCAUGGGGAAAUUUAAACAGC
Molecule: long non-coding RNA, 211 nt
Filed under: Gossypium raimondii (Peruvian cotton)
Lineage: Eukaryota; Viridiplantae; Streptophyta; Magnoliopsida; Malvales; Malvaceae
Description: long non-coding RNA (GRAI_LNC008725)
Source: RNAcentral